AGUCGAACGGGAUCCCAGGAGCUUGCUCCUGGGUGAGAGUGGCGAACGGGUGAGUAAUGCGUGACCGACCUGCCCCAUACACCGGAAUAGCUCCUGGAAACGGGUGGUAAUGCCGGAUGCUCCAGUUGACCGCAUGGUCCUCUGGGAAAGAUUCAUCGGUAUGGGAUGGGGUCGCGUCCUAUCAGCUUGAUGGCGGGGUAACGGCCCACCAUGGCUUCGACGGGUAGCCGGCCUGAGAGGGCGACCGGCCACAUUGGGACUGAGAUACGGCCCAGACUCCUACGGGAGGCAGCAGUGGGGAAUAUUGCACAAUGGGCGCAAGCCUGAUGCAGCGACGCCGCGUGCGGGAUGACGGCCUUCGGGUUGUAAACCGCUUUUGACUGGGAGCAAGCCCUUCGGGGUGAGUGUACCUUUCGAAUAAGCACCGGCUAACUACGUGCCAGCAGCCGCGGUAAUACGUAGGGUGCAAGCGUUAUCCGGAAUUAUUGGGCGUAAAGGGCUCGUAGGCGGUUCGUCGCGUCCGGUGUGAAAGUCCAUCGCUUAACGGUGGAUCCGCGCCGGGUACGGGCGGGCUUGAGUGCGGUAGGGGAGACUGGAAUUCCCGGUGUAACGGUGGAAUGUGUAGAUAUCGGGAAGAACACCAAUGGCGAAGGCAGGUCUCUGGGCCGUCACUGACGCUGAGGAGCGAAAGCGUGGGGAGCGAACAGGAUUAGAUACCCUGGUAGUCCACGCCGUAAACGGUGGAUGCUGGAUGUGGGGACCAUUCCACGGUCUCCGUGUCGGAGCCAACGCGUUAAGCAUCCCGCCUGGGGAGUACGGCCGCAAGGCUAAAACUCAAAGAAAUUGACGGGGGCCCGCACAAGCGGCGGAGCAUGCGGAUUAAUUCGAUGCAACGCGAAGAACCUUACCUGGGCUUGACAUGUUCCCGACAGCCCCAGAGAUGG
Molecule: ribosomal RNA, 944 nt
Filed under: bacterium IARFR2155-94
Lineage: Bacteria
Description: bacterial SSU rRNA
Rfam family: Bacterial small subunit ribosomal RNA
Source: RNAcentral